CACGUAGGCACCAAGCGUUGUCCGGAUUUAUUGGGCGUAAAGAGCUCGUAGGCGGUUCAGUAAGUCGGGUGUGAAAACUCUGGGCUUAACCCAGAGACGCCACCCGAUACUGCUGUGACUUGAGUACGGUAGGGGGGCAGGGAAUUCCUGGUGUAGCGGUGAAAUGCGCAGAUAUCAGGAGGAACACCGGUGGCGAAGGCGGGUCUCUGGGCCGAUACUGACGCUGAGGAGCGAAAGCGUGGGGAGCAAACAGG
Molecule: ribosomal RNA, 254 nt
Filed under: uncultured bacterium
Lineage: Bacteria
Description: partial 16S ribosomal RNA
Rfam family: Bacterial small subunit ribosomal RNA
Source: RNAcentral